CGUACAAUUUCAUUCACCAAUUGUUCUAUCAAGCAAGAUAGCAAAAUUAACGAUUUAUCACAAACUGUCACAAACAAGGGUUUCACAUACCACACAAUCAAACAUAUAUGCAUAAAGAUAUGAGUAAUUAUAUACACCGCCAAGUCUUCACUAUUCUUGGUGGUACAAAGAAAUAACUAUCGGAGUACUCGGUAAGGGGUAUCACUUAGUAUCCCUCUUUGCACACCUCUGAAUUUUUAGGAAAUUGUGGGCGUUACGUAUCGCCGUACCCACAACCUUUA
Molecule: long non-coding RNA, 281 nt
Filed under: Theobroma cacao (cacao)
Lineage: Eukaryota; Viridiplantae; Streptophyta; Magnoliopsida; Malvales; Malvaceae
Description: long non-coding RNA (TCAC_LNC003134)
Source: RNAcentral